CCUACGGGCGGCUGCAGUGGGGAAUAUUGGACAAUGGGGGCAACCCUGAUCCAGCCAUGCCGCGUGUGUGAAGAAGGCCCUCGGGUUGUAAAGCACUUUCAGUGAGGAAGAACGCCUGGUGGUUAAUACCCAUCAGGAAAGACAUCACUCACAGAAGAAGCACCGGCUAACUCCGUGCCAGCAGCCGCGGUAAUACGGAGGGUGCGAGCGUUAAUCGGAAUUACUGGGCGUAAAGCGCGCGUAGGUGGCUUGAUAAGCCGGUUGUGAAAGCCCCGGGCUCAACCUGGGAACGGCAUCCGGAACUGUCAAGCUAGAGUGCAGGAGAGGAAGGUAGAAUUCCCGGUGUAGCGGUGAAGUGCGUAGAGAUCGGGAGGAAUACCAGUGGCGAAGGCGGCCUUCAGGACUGACACUGACACUGAGGUGCGAAAGCGUGGGUAGCAAACAGGAUUAGAUACCCUAGUAGUC
RNAcentral lists this ribosomal RNA (465 nucleotides) under Vreelandella stevensii. Its description in RNAcentral is "partial 16S ribosomal RNA". It matches the Rfam family "Bacterial small subunit ribosomal RNA", at positions 338 to 795 of the family's 1533-position model. Lineage: Bacteria; Pseudomonadati; Pseudomonadota; Gammaproteobacteria; Oceanospirillales; Halomonadaceae. The record is from RNAcentral.